Molecule: long non-coding RNA, 1228 nt
Organism: Megalobrama amblycephala (Wuchang bream)
Lineage: Eukaryota; Metazoa; Chordata; Actinopteri; Cypriniformes; Xenocyprididae
Exons: 3
Source: RefSeq, a predicted model, not a curated record
GAAAAAAGAAAUUAGUUAUGAAUGGGUGGGUCUAAAUAUGUAUAUUCAUCCCAUAUGUAAACCCUGUUGAAUAAUUGAUAACACACCCUGAGGGGCUGCGCAGGGGGUCAGUGAAUAACGAACUGCUGUUAGAAAUCAAACGAUGGCCCAGUAACUCAACAAGCAGCUGGUUUGAUGUUUUGUAGCGCUUUUUUGUUCAUUAAAAUCAUUUCAAGUCAGGUGUACUUGAAGGCAUCUCAGCGGGUUGGUAAAAUAGAUUUUCUUUUGCUUUGAUUUCCUAACUGUAUUUAUUAUUUCACAGAUGAUAUUAGCAACCAGUAUACUUACCAAAAUACAUGAUGAGCAGGAGGUGGAAGGAAAGAACAGAUUGCAUGAGGUGUUUGCCAAUUCAGUGGUGUGUGAAAGUCUCACACAUCCACGCAGGUCAGGUGUUUAAAAUGAGCUGAUGACCCAUAUAUCACCCUUUCAUGAUUUUAGGCCCUUUUCAAACAAAUAUUUUGACAUUACUGUAUAUCAAAGUGCCUUUAAACAUGUUAACACUUGCUGCAUCACUAGAUGCUCGGACUGUUUCAGAAAGGUCAUGAUGUAAACAAUCGGUUUGUUUUUAUUAAAGUCACCAUGAAAUAAAGAUUGACAGUUCUUGUUUUUUAUGCCGUAUUGCAGUGUUUGAUAUACAUGAUUUAUCCAUGUACAUCAUUAUUAUUAUUUUUUUAAUUCAUGUGCCCUCGUAAUCUUUAAUCAAAAUAACUCCCCCUCCCUCUUGCAGCGACAUCUCUUCUCUGAUGAAGUGUUUACUGGCAUGAGGGCGGGACAACCUGUCACUCACAUGAGAUCGACCAAUAGCAAACCACAACCAUCCAAUCAAUUUCCCAUGGAAAAAAUGAAGUCCCACCCUAUCACAAGAGGUUGGUUUAGGUCCGCCUGUCACGUCAUUGCCUGCUGGGAUGCGAGUUUCCCUCCAACGAUGGGGAAAAACAUAUCUUGAUCGCAUUAUGCAAGUCAAUCCAUGUUCAUUUUGCCCACACACAAUCUUGCAGCACUUGCACUUGCAGCACAGCAAAAAUAGACUCGGUACAUAAACGAUCGCUGCACUGCUGCAGACGCACCGCUCCUGGAACGCAAUGACGGACCGCAACCGCGUGCAGUGUGAACGCUCUAAUCCGUUAACAUGGGUGCGUAAAAAAAUACGCAACGCAUACGCACUGCAGACGGAUUAUGUGUGAAACAG